This is a non-coding RNA of Gaertneriomyces semiglobifer, 104 nucleotides long. The record is from the annotation of a GenBank genome assembly. NCBI's taxonomy places the organism in Eukaryota, Fungi, Chytridiomycota, Chytridiomycetes, Spizellomycetales, Spizellomycetaceae.
GGUCAAGUAGCUCAGUGGUAGAGCGCGGCGAUGGCUCCUAGAGCCGCAACUUAAAUGGCCAUUCCCAGAGGCCGAGGACGGGGGUUCGAAUCCUCCCUUGACCG